AUGGAAUUUGUUAACAGCAGAUACAUAAUAGGAUUACGUUCAGAGGAGUAUUUGUUCCCAAUCCAAGAUAUGUACAGAUCGAGUUAUCUUGGGAAGCCACAUGAAGGUAAUUGUUGUUCUUCUAUCAGACUCGCUUUGCAUACAACUAGCUACUCCGCUGAAAAUUAUUCCCGAGUGGUCGCUGAGAAGUGGAUUUUGUAUUGUGAGUUGUUUGCAAUCAGCAUGUUUUGGCCAUAUAAGCAAAAAAUUCGUACCCUUGGACUGCUAUCAUCUGAAGCAGACUUCUGUACUGUCAACAUUUUGUUUCUGCCAAGACGAACAACUGACUUGACACCUUGGCCACCUCCUUAUUCGUCAAGUGUGGCUCUACAGUUUCCAAGCUCACGACCAAUUAGAGUGAUCACCGCUGUUACAGGAAAUAUAUGCCAUAUAUCUGCGGUUAUUGGAACAGAUGGAUCUGAACAUUUUCUACGUAACGUUGCUUGGUUACUGUGUGACUACAUUUUCUGUUCAAGCAUAGCUGCUGACCAAUUUUGCAAGGAUACUAAUGUCCAAGAAAAGGGUCGUUAUGCUUAA
RNAcentral lists this ribosomal RNA (576 nucleotides) under Triticum aestivum (bread wheat). Its description in RNAcentral is "partial small subunit ribosomal RNA". Lineage: Eukaryota; Viridiplantae; Streptophyta; Magnoliopsida; Poales; Poaceae. The record is from RNAcentral.